Molecule: non-coding RNA, 191 nt
Organism: Oryza barthii
Lineage: Eukaryota; Viridiplantae; Streptophyta; Magnoliopsida; Poales; Poaceae
Source: Rfam
CUUAAGCGCAACAUGAGUUCCGUGUCCAACUUUAAUUAUUUGUCUUAUUUAAUUUUUUUUAUAAUUAGUAUUUUUAUUGUUAUUAGAUUAUAAAACAUUAAUAGUGACUCAUAUUUUUUAGUUUUCUCAAAAAAAAAUUAAAUAAAACGAAUAAUCAAAGUUGGACACAAAAAUUUAUGACUGCGCUUAUU